UGGGGAAUAUUGGGCAAUGGGCGCAAGCCUGACCCAGCAACGCCGCGUGAAGGAAGAAGGCUUUCGGGUUGUAAACUUCUUUUCUGAGGGACGAAGCAAGUGACGGUACCUUAGGAAUAAGCCACGGCUAACUACGUGCC
Molecule: ribosomal RNA, 140 nt
Filed under: uncultured bacterium
Lineage: Bacteria
Description: partial 16S ribosomal RNA
Rfam family: Bacterial small subunit ribosomal RNA
Source: RNAcentral